Molecule: transfer RNA, 47 nt
Filed under: Drosophila pullipes
Lineage: Eukaryota; Metazoa; Arthropoda; Insecta; Diptera; Drosophilidae
Description: tRNA-Arg
Source: RNAcentral
GAAUAUGAAGCGAUUAAUUGCAAUUAGUUUCGACCUAAUUUUAGGUA